UUCCUUUCUAAUAUUUAAAUAAAUGGAAAAAAAAUAAUUUUAAAAUUUCUCAAUAUUUUCCGUCAUUAUUUUUUUUUUGUUUUUAUCUUAAGAUUGCCAAAAAGUUACUGAAUUGGAUUCUUAGGUUAUCUUUUACGUUUUGUAUUUUCAUUUUUCCUAAUUAGAGAUAUUAGGGAUCAAUUAUAGUAUACCAAAAUAAUUAACUAAUUAUUAUUUCUCAUAAAAAAAUAUAUAAAAAUUGAGCAAAUAAUGAUAUUUCAUCAUAAUAAUUCUUUAAUUUUUUUAUUUUUUG
This 292-nucleotide unclassified non-coding RNA is filed under the name Hevea brasiliensis (rubber tree). The record is from RNAcentral. Lineage: Eukaryota; Viridiplantae; Streptophyta; Magnoliopsida; Malpighiales; Euphorbiaceae.